AUACGUAGGGGGCGAGCGUUGUCCGGAUUUAUUGGGCGUAAAGAGCUCGUAGGCGGCUGGGCAAGUCGGGUGUGAAAACUCCAGGCUCAACUUGGAGAGGCCACUUGAUACUGCCCUGGCUAGAGUCCGGUAGGGGAGCGCGGAAUUCCUGGUGUAGCGGUGAAAUGCGCAGAGAUCAGGAGGAACACCAGUGGCGAAGGCGGCGCUCUGGGCCGGUACUGACGCUGAGGAGCGAAAGCGUGGGGAGCGAACAG
Molecule: ribosomal RNA, 254 nt
Filed under: uncultured prokaryote
Description: partial 16S ribosomal RNA
Rfam family: Bacterial small subunit ribosomal RNA
Source: RNAcentral